UCCGGUUUGUCACCGGCAGUCUCCUUAGAGUUCCCGCCAUUACGCGCUGGCAACUAAGGACAAGGGUUGCGCUCGUUACGGGACUUAACCCAACAUCUCACGACACGAGCUGACGACAGCCAUGCAGCACCUGUCUCCUGGUUCCCGAAGGCACACCUCUAUCUCUGAAGGAUUCCGUGGAUGUCAAGGCCAGGUAAGGUUCUUCGCGUUGCAUCGAAUUAAACCACAUGCUCCACCGCUUGUGCGGGCCCCCGUCAAUUCCUUUGAGUUUCAACCUUGCGGUCGUACUCCCCAGGCGGGGCACUUAAUGCGUUAGCGCCGGCACUCGGGGGGUCGCUCCCCCAAGCACCUAGUGCCCAUCGUUUACGGCGUGGACUAC
RNAcentral lists this unclassified non-coding RNA (379 nucleotides) under uncultured bacterium. RNAcentral's name for it is "contains 16S-23S intergenic spacer region". The record is from RNAcentral.